This 305-nucleotide ribosomal RNA is filed under the name uncultured bacterium. RNAcentral's name for it is "bacterial SSU rRNA". It matches the Rfam family "Bacterial small subunit ribosomal RNA", at positions 334 to 656 of the family's 1533-position model. The record is from RNAcentral.
GUAUCCUACGGGACGCAGCAGUGGGGAAUAUUGCACAAUGGGGGAAACCCUGAUGCAGCGACGCCGCGUGAGUGAAGAAGAAAUUCGUUAUGUAAAGCUCUAUCAGCAGGGAAGAAAAUGACGGUACCUGAGUGAGAAGCCCCGGCUAACUACGUGCCAGCAGCCGCGGUAAUACGUAGGGGGCAAGCGUUAUCCGGAUUUACUGGGUGUAAAGGGAGCGUAGACGGCCAGACAAGUCAGAAGUGAAAACCCGCGGCUCAACUGCGGGAGUGCUUUUGAAACUGGUUGGCUGGAGUGCAGGAGAG